CAGCCGCCGCGGUAAUACCGGCGGCCCGAGUGGCGGUCACUAUUAUUGGGCUUAAAGCGUCCGUAGCCGGGUUGGGAAGUCCUCCGGGAAAUCUGGCCGCUUAACGGUCAGAAUGCCGGAGGAUACUCCCAGCCUAGGGAGCGGGAGAGGCCGAGGGGAUUCCCGGAGUAGGGGUGAAAUCCUAUAAUCCCGGGAGGACCACCUGUGGCGAAGGCGCUCGGCUGGAACGCGUCCGACGGUGAGGGACGAAGGCCAGGGGAGCAAACCGGAUUAGAUACCCGGGUAGUCCUGGCUGUAAACGAUGCGGACUUUGUGUCGGACAAGCUAUGAGCUUGUCCGGUGCCGGAGGGAAACCGUUAAGUCCGCCGCCUGGGGAGUACGGCCGCAAGGCUGAAACUUAAAGGAAUUGGGGGG
This 414-nucleotide ribosomal RNA is filed under the name uncultured microorganism. RNAcentral's name for it is "bacterial SSU rRNA". It matches the Rfam family "Archaeal small subunit ribosomal RNA", at positions 459 to 872 of the family's 1478-position model. The record is from RNAcentral.